CAGCCGCCGCGGUAAUACGAAGGGGGCUAGCGUUGCUCGGAAUCACUGGGCGUAAAGGGCGCGUAGGCGGCCGAUCAAGUCAGAGGUGAAAGCCCGGGGCUCAACCCCGGGACUGCCUUUGAAACUAGGUGACUAGAAUCUUGGAGAGGUCAGUGGAAUUCCGAGUGUAGAGGUGAAAUUCGUAGAUAUUCGGAAGAACACCAGUGGCGAAGGCGACUGACUGGACAAGUAUUGACGCUGAGGUGCGAAAGCGUGGGGAGCAAACAGGAUUAGAUACCCGUGUAGUCCCUGUCUCUUAUAC
Molecule: ribosomal RNA, 301 nt
Filed under: uncultured bacterium
Lineage: Bacteria
Description: partial 16S ribosomal RNA
Rfam family: Bacterial small subunit ribosomal RNA
Source: RNAcentral